This 524-nucleotide ribosomal RNA is filed under the name uncultured bacterium. Its description in RNAcentral is "bacterial SSU rRNA". It matches the Rfam family "Bacterial small subunit ribosomal RNA", at positions 777 to 1314 of the family's 1533-position model. The record is from RNAcentral.
AAUAGAUACCCUGGUAGUCCACGCCGUAAACGAUGGAUGCUAGCUGUUAGGAGUAUCGACCCUCCUAGUAGCGUAGCUAACGCGUUAAGCAUCCCGCCUGUGGAGUACGGUCGCAAGACUAAAACAUAAAGGAAUUGACGGGGACCCGCACAAGCGGUGGAGCGUGUUGUUUAAUUCGAUGGUAAGCGAAGAACCUUACCCAGGCUUGACAUCCUGCUAAUCACUCCGAAAGGAGAGAGUGCCUUCGGGCCGCAGUGACAGGUGCUGCAUGGCCGUCGUCAGCUCGUGUCGUGAGAUGUUUGGUUAAGUCCAUCAACGAGCGCAACCCUUAUAGUUAGUUGUAUUUCUCUAGCUAGACUGCCCUGGCAACAGGGAGGAAGGAGGGGAUGAUGUCAGGUCAGUAUUACCCUUACGCCUGGGGCUACAAACACGCUACAAUGGCCGGUACAAAGGGCAGCCAACCCGGCGAGGGGGAGCAAAUCCCAUCAAAGCCGGUCUCAGUUCGGAUUGCAGGCUGAAACUCG